Molecule: transfer RNA, 72 nt
Filed under: Camelus bactrianus (Bactrian camel)
Lineage: Eukaryota; Metazoa; Chordata; Mammalia; Artiodactyla; Camelidae
Also listed under: 2 other names
Rfam family: tRNA
About the family: Transfer RNA (tRNA) molecules are approximately 80 nucleotides in length. Their secondary structure includes four short double-helical elements and three loops (D, anti-codon, and T loops).
Source: Rfam by way of RNAcentral
GAGGGUAUAGCCCAGUGGUAGAGCUCACAUUUAGCAAGCACAAGGUCCUGGGUUCAAUCCCCAGUACCUCCA